CCUACGGGAGGCAGCAGUGAGGAAUAUUGGUCAAUGGACGAGAGUCUGAACCAGCCAAGUAGCGUGAAGGAUGACUGCCCUAUGGGUUGUAAACUUCUUUUAUAUGGGAAUAAAGUAUUCCACGUGUGGGAUUUUGUAUGUACCAUAUGAAUAAGGAUCGGCUAACUCCGUGCCAGCAGCCGCGGUAAUACGGAGGAUCCGAGCGUUAUCCGGAUUUAUUGGGUUUAAAGGGAGCGUAGGCGGGUUGUUAAGUCAGUUGUGAAAGUUUGCGGCUCAACCGUAAAAUUGCAGUUGAUACUGGCGACCUUGAGUGCAACAGAGGUAGGCGGAAUUCGUGGUGUAGCGGUGAAAUGCUUAGAUAUCACGAAGAACUCCGAUUGCGAAGGCAGCCUGCUAAGCUGCAACUGACAUUGAGGCUCGAAAG
Molecule: ribosomal RNA, 424 nt
Filed under: uncultured Kineothrix sp.
Lineage: Bacteria; Bacillati; Bacillota; Clostridia; Lachnospirales; Lachnospiraceae
Description: bacterial SSU rRNA
Rfam family: Bacterial small subunit ribosomal RNA
Source: RNAcentral